This 425-nucleotide ribosomal RNA is filed under the name uncultured bacterium. Its description in RNAcentral is "bacterial SSU rRNA". It matches the Rfam family "Bacterial small subunit ribosomal RNA", at positions 356 to 773 of the family's 1533-position model. The record is from RNAcentral.
AGGGAAUCUUCCACAAUGGACGCAAGUCUGAUGGAGCAACGCCGCGUGAGUGAAGAAGGGUUUCGGCUCGUAAAGCUCUGUUGUUAAAGAAGAACGUGGGUGAGAGUAACUGUUCACCCAGUGACGGUAUUUAACCAGAAAGCCACGGCUAACUACGUGCCAGCAGCCGCGGUAAUACGUAGGUGGCAAGCGUUAUCCGGAUUUAUUGGGCGUAAAGCGAGCGCAGGCGGUCUUUUAAGUCUAAUGUGAAAGCCUUCGGCUCAACCGAAGAAGUGCAUUGGAAACUGGGAGACUUGAGUGCAGAAGAGGACAGUGGAACUCCAUGUGUAGCGGUGAAAUGCGUAGAUAUAUGGAAGAACACCAGUGGCGAAGGCGGCUGUCUGGUCUGUAACUGACGCUGAGGCUCGAAAGCAUGGGUAGCGAAC